UAAGACUGAAAUCCUCCCACAAACUUUAUCUGAUCAUAAUCCAGUAUAUAUGGAGGUAAAAGGAAAAGAUUUCAGAACAUUAAGAUGGAGAAUGAACGAAAACCUAUUCAAUGAUCAAAAGAUAGCAAAUAAAGCAAAAGAGACAAUUGAGGAAUAUUUUAAGUGGAAUUUGAAUAAAGAAACAUCUCUAGAAACGGUGUGGGAUGCCGGGAAGGCUGUCAUGAGGGGUUUUCUUAUUCAGAAAAAUAGCAUCUC
Podarcis lilfordi (Lilford's wall lizard) is the source of this 255-nucleotide non-coding RNA. Lineage: Eukaryota; Metazoa; Chordata; Lepidosauria; Squamata; Lacertidae. The record is from the annotation of a GenBank genome assembly.